This 253-nucleotide ribosomal RNA is filed under the name uncultured bacterium. RNAcentral describes it as "partial 16S ribosomal RNA". It matches the Rfam family "Bacterial small subunit ribosomal RNA", at positions 524 to 776 of the family's 1533-position model. The record is from RNAcentral.
UACGUAGGGUGCAAGCGUUAAUCGGAAUUACUGGGCGUAAAGCGUGCGCAGGCGGUGAUGUAAGACAGUUGUGAAAUCCCCGGGCUCAACCUGGGAACUGCAUCUGUGACUGCAUCGCUGGAGUGCGGCAGAGGGGGAUGGAAUUCCGCGUGUAGCAGUGAAAUGCGUAGAUAUGCGGAGGAACACCGAUGGCGAAGGCAAUCCCCUGGGCCUGCACUGACGCUCAUGCACGAAGGCGUGGGGAGCAAACAGG